Molecule: long non-coding RNA, 946 nt
Filed under: Equus caballus (horse)
Lineage: Eukaryota; Metazoa; Chordata; Mammalia; Perissodactyla; Equidae
Description: lncRNA (ENSECAG00000042876.2)
Source: RNAcentral
GAAUUUUUUGUCUCUCUGAAGUGAGGGCUUAAGGAAUAAUGAAAACUUCUGCUCAUACUUCUCAUGAAUGCUUUUAUUUUCAAGGUCAACCAAAUGUUUUUUCAGGAAAGACUAAUGCACUUUUCUUCAAGCAAUAUACCGUAAAAUGUUUCUCCAAGAUUAUCCUGUCUCUGAGCAGAAGACAACUGGGUCUAGAUGUUUUUAUUUUCUCCUUGCUGUUGCAAAAUUAGGUUUGAGUGACUCUGGGCCCGUCAUAAUGGAUUGUUCUCUCAUGAGGAACUCAGAGCUCAACUUCUCUUGAACUGUGAGCUCCUUGCAUCAGGGUCCAGGAGUUGCUCAUCUGCAUACCCUCGGCAUACAGUAGAAUAAUGGUAUGGUGUUUCUAUUUACAAGAAGAAACCUUAUCUUUUAGAGAUCCAUGCUGAAAUGUUUAUGAAUGAAAAGGAGUUUCUGGAGAGAAGGACACUUCCGGCCCCUGUCCUGAGAGCCCGGGACCGUGCUGACUACACUAUGGACAGCUGUUGGUCAGCAGAGGCCCCAUUAUGCUGGAUCAACAAACGACUCCAAGACCUUGUGACCUAACACGACAACUUCGUUUCUUACUAAGAGGACUCUCGUGCAAUGGCUCAGGCACAGAGGUGCCAUCCGGCCAUGUGCCACCAUGAUUAUGGACAUGUGGAAAAGGGAACGUGCUAAGCACUUGUCUUCGUUCUACGGGAAAUGUGAGUUCAACUCGGCGCCCUCAGACAAGAGGCCCUCGGCUCUCUUUCUCCUCCAGUGCAGUGUGUUUCAAAAUAAGAAAACAACCCUUCAGGCCGACCAUCGUCAUCUGUCAGCUUGAUACAGCUGUCAAUCAAUGUCACUAACUGGAAGAAAUGCUCGCUAUUCUAAGACCACCACCACCACCGUGUCUGCUUGUUACUGUGUAGACCAUUAUGAAGGCUAG